RNAcentral lists this long non-coding RNA (627 nucleotides) under Spirodela polyrhiza (greater duckweed). RNAcentral describes it as "long non-coding RNA (SPOL_LNC001568)". The record is from RNAcentral. Lineage: Eukaryota; Viridiplantae; Streptophyta; Magnoliopsida; Alismatales; Araceae.
AAUAGGUUGGACAAUUUUGACGGACCUGCGGUUGGAGAAGUGGCAGUUGAAGCACAGCUUUAUGAAGAAGCCUUUGCAAUAUUUAAGAAGUUUGACUUAAAUGUUCAGGCAGUUAAUGUCCUCCUCGAUAACAUCAGAAGCAUUGAUCGUGCUGUAGAAUUUGCUUUCCGUGUUGAAGAAGAUGCCGUCUGGAGUCAGGUCGCCAAGGCUCAACUUAGGGAAGGUCUUGUGAGUGAUGCAAUCGAGUCAUUUAUUCGCGCAGACGAUGCAACGCAUUUCCUGGAUGUUAUUCGAGCUGCUGAGGACACAAAUGUGUAUCAUGACCUUGUAAAGUACUUGUUGAUGGUUAGGCAGAAGGUCAAGGAGCCGAAGGUGGACAGUGAGCUCAUCUAUGCAUUUGCAAAGAUUGACAGGCUGGGUGAUAUUGAAGAAUUCAUUCUCAUGCCCAAUGUUGCUAACCUUCAAAAUGUUGGCGACCGUCUCUACGAUGAAGCCUUAUAUGAGGCGGCAAAGAUUAUAUUUGCUUUCAUUUCUAACUGGGCCAAGUUGGCUAGUACUCUGCUGAAGCUAAGACAAUUUCAAGGUGCGGUUGAUGCAGCUCGUAAAGCUAACAGUGCAAAGACGUGG